GUAUUAUUGAGGGUAGAGAAGUCCAGGAAGUUCAAUCCACCAGUUUCGUAGGUAUUCUUUACAACAGACCUUUUCACAUAGUGAGUCUUGUUCCUCCACAAGAAGUCGAAAAGCAUCUUAUUGAUAUUCUUACAAAUUUUCUCAUUCACAGACAAAGAGAUUGCUGCGUACGCAAGAUGUGACAGUCCUUCCACUUUGGUUAGUAGCGUACGUCCUUUUAAAGAAAGAUCUCAACCUAGCCACUGGUUAAGCUUAGCUUGGAUUUUGUUAAUAAUUGGUUCAAAGUUCGCUGUACAUCGCAUGGCUUCAUUUUUCAUACCGGUAAUCCCUAGAUAGGUAACUUUUUCUUUAAUUGGGAUGUUGCAGAUCGAUGUCUCAUUCCGGUCAUGGAUAGGGAACAGUUAGCAUUUGUUGAGAUUUAGGUGGAGACCAAAGGCCGCUGAGAACUGUUCGCCCGUUUUAAUCGCAGCAGAGACUUGGCUGGAGUUCUUUAGGAAUAAGGUAGUGUCAUCCGCAAGCUGACUAAUCAGGAUUUCUCUGCCCGCUAUAGAUAUCCCUUGGAUGGCACUUGUUCUGAUAUGACAGGUGAGUAGUUGCGUACACAAUAGAAAGAGAAAUGGAGAGGCCGGACAGCCUUGGCGCACUCCUCGAUGUAGAGAGAAUCUUGGAGAGCGCUCCCUUAGCUUUGAUAAGAUAUACUUCAUUUAGUUUAGCCUGUUCUGAGCUUAGUAGUAGUCUGUCUUCAUCUGACAUGUUAUCAGGGUUUUUUUAGGGAUAAUUCGAUUAUUUUAGAGACUAUCGUGUCUUCUUCUAAUUGACGCGCUUUAGCUAAAUUACUGCCAUAUUUCCUAAGGUAUUGCCAUAUUGACAAGUCUCAAAUUUAAAUAGUUCCCAGUUGUUACGAAAAGAAUUGUCAACUUUUUCUUUGUUCCAAAACUUUUUAAGAAGGCAUUCAAUAUCAGAUUGAACCUUUUUAUGUUGUAAUAGAGAGUUGUUAAGCUUCCAGUAGACACUUGUAAAUAUUUUAGAAGCUUCCAGUAGACACUUUUAAAUAUUUUAGGAGAGUUUGAGUGAAAAGGGAUGGAGAUGAGGACCGCAUUAUGGUCAGUUGAAGGUGUUGUAAUGAUAUCAACUGAAACUGGAUUGAUGUUAAUAUUUUGAGAUAUGAGCCAAAAGUCGAUACGUGACCGCCUGGUGGCAUCUUUAUUACUCCAAGUGAACUAUUUUUUGUUUGGAUUAUUGCUCCUCCAUAUAUCAAUCAAAUUAAAUGUCUGCAUAAAUAUCUUCAGGGUCUUAUUUAGAGAAGAUUGAUUACGAUUAGGCCAACAGUCCAUGUUAUGGUGCAAUAUCGUAUUGAAGUCACCGCCUGUAACUAGACCGGAAUUUGGGAAUUUAGCGAGUGAAUGUUGAAUAUGUUUUU
Long non-coding RNA from Hippocampus zosterae (dwarf seahorse), 1420 nucleotides. RefSeq lists it as uncharacterized. NCBI's taxonomy places the organism in Eukaryota, Metazoa, Chordata, Actinopteri, Syngnathiformes, Syngnathidae. The transcript is spliced from 2 exons. The record is from RefSeq and is a predicted model, not a curated record.